This 315-nucleotide ribosomal RNA is filed under the name uncultured eukaryote. RNAcentral's name for it is "partial 18S ribosomal RNA". It matches the Rfam family "Eukaryotic small subunit ribosomal RNA", at positions 1470 to 1796 of the family's 1831-position model. The record is from RNAcentral.
CCCCUAGAUGCUCUGGGCCGCACGCGCGCUACACUGGUCGAUGCAACGAGUUUCUUUCCUUGGCCGACAGGCCUGGGCAAUCUUUGAACAUCGAUCGUGAUCGGGAUAGAUUCUUGUAAUUUUUGAUCUUAAACGAGGAAUUCCUAGUAAACGCAAGUCAUCAGCUUGCAUUGAUUACGUCCCUGCCCUUUGUACACACCGCCCGUCGCACCUACCGAUUGAAUGGUCCGGUGAAGCCUCCGGAUUGGCGCGCACCUCGGUGCCGCCGAGAAGUUGGCUAAACCUUACCAUUUAGAGGAAGGUGAAGUCGUAACA